This 496-nucleotide ribosomal RNA is filed under the name uncultured bacterium. RNAcentral describes it as "bacterial SSU rRNA". It matches the Rfam family "Bacterial small subunit ribosomal RNA", at positions 46 to 523 of the family's 1533-position model. The record is from RNAcentral.
GCCUAAUACAUGCAAGUCGUACGCACUGGCCCAACUGAUUGAUGGUGCUUGCACCUGAUUGACGUUGGAUCACCAGUGAGUGGCGGACGGGUGAGUAACACGUAGGUAACCUGCCCCGGAGCGGGGGAUAACAUUUGGAAACAGAUGCUAAUACCGCAUAACAACAAAAGCCACAUGGCUUUUGUUUGAAAGAUGGCUUUGGCUAUCACUCUGGGAUGGACCUGCGGUGCAUUAGCUAGUUGGUAAGGUAACGGCUUACCAAGGCGAUGAUGCAUAGCCGAGUUGAGAGACUGAUCGGCCACAAUGGAACUGAGACACGGUCCAUACUCCUACGGGAGGCAGCAGUAGGGAAUCUUCCACAAUGGGCGCAAGCCUGAUGGAGCAACACCGCGUGAGUGAAGAAGUAUUUCGGUAUGUAAAGCUCUAUCAGCAGGGAAGAAAAUGACGGUACCUGACUAAGAAGCCCCGGCUAACUACGUGCCAGCAGCCGCGGUAA